UCUAGAACCGAUAACCCCCGUUCAACCUCACCACCUCUUGUUUUCCCCGCCUAUAUACCACCGUCGUCAGCUUACCCUGUGAAGGCCCUAUAGUAAGCAAAAUGGGCAAAACCCAA
RNAcentral lists this ribosomal RNA (116 nucleotides) under Salvelinus namaycush (lake trout). RNAcentral's name for it is "partial 12S ribosomal RNA". Lineage: Eukaryota; Metazoa; Chordata; Actinopteri; Salmoniformes; Salmonidae. The record is from RNAcentral.